CGGACGACGCUGGCGGCGUGGAUUAGGCAUGCAAGUCGAACGGUAUCAUCCUUUCGGGGGUGAGAGAGUGGCGAACUGGUGAGUAACACGUAGGUUAUCUACCCUCAAGACGGGACAACCAGGGAAACUUGGGCUAAUACCGGAUGAGAGUGCGAGAGAUUGCAUUUAAAAGGAUGGCGAAAGUUGUCGCUUAGGGAUGAGCCUGCGGUCUAUUAGUUAGUUGGUGAGGUAAGAGCUCACCAAGGCGAUGAUAGAUAGGCGGCCUUAACGGGUGGUCGCCCACACUGGGAUUGAGAUACGGCCCAGACUCCUACGGGAGGCAGCAGUCGAGAAUAGUCUACAAUGGCCGGAAGGCUGAUAGUGCGACGCCGCGUGAACGAGGGAGCCCUUCGGGGUGUAAAGUUCUUUUCUAUACGAGCAGUGCUAUAUAUAUGGAUAGUAUAUAUAGAGGGAUAGUAGUAUAGGAAUAAGCAACGGCUAACUCCGUG
This 488-nucleotide ribosomal RNA is filed under the name uncultured bacterium. Its description in RNAcentral is "bacterial SSU rRNA". It matches the Rfam family "Bacterial small subunit ribosomal RNA", at positions 33 to 507 of the family's 1533-position model. The record is from RNAcentral.